RNAcentral lists this ribosomal RNA (2192 nucleotides) under Haemophilus influenzae. RNAcentral describes it as "bacterial LSU rRNA". It matches the Rfam family "Bacterial large subunit ribosomal RNA", at positions 591 to 2654 of the family's 2925-position model. The record is from RNAcentral. Lineage: Bacteria; Pseudomonadati; Pseudomonadota; Gammaproteobacteria; Pasteurellales; Pasteurellaceae.
GGGUGACUGCGUACCUUUUGUAUAAUGGGUCAGCGACUUAUAUUUUGUAGCGAGGUUAACCGAAUAGGGGAGCCGAAGGGAAACCGAGUCUUAACUGGGCGAAGAGUUGCAAGGUAUAGACCCGAAACCCGGUGAUCUAGCCAUGGGCAGGUUGAAGGUUGGGUAACACUAACUGGAGGACCGAACCGACUAAUGUUGAAAAAUUAGCGGAUGACUUGUGGCUGGGGGUGAAAGGCCAAUCAAACCGGGAGAUAGCUGGUUCUCCCCGAAAUCUAUUUAGGUAGAGCCUUGAGGUGACACCUUUGGGGGUAGAGCACUGUUUCGGCUAGGGGUCCAUCCCGGAUUACCAACCCGAUGCAAACUACGAAUACCAAAGAGUGAUACUCAGGAGACACACGGCGGGUGCUAACGUCCGUCGUGGAGAGGGAAACAACCCAGACCGCCAGCUAAGGUCCCCAAGUCUAUAUUAAGUGGGAAACGAAGUGGGAAGGCUUAGACAGCUAGGAUGUUGGCUUAGAAGCAGCCAUCAUUUAAAGAAAGCGUAAUAGCUCACUAGUCGAGUCGGCCUGCGCGGAAGAUGUAACGGGGCUGAAAUAUAGCACCGAAGCUGCGGCAUCAGGCGUAUCACUAAUACGCCUUACGAUUAACAAGCUAGAAUGGCGCGAAGCGGCAUGAAAGGUUGUUCAAGCAACCCGAACGUUGAGUCGGGGUAUUUUUGAAGUAAGGAUUAUUAGUGAUACGCCUGUUGGGUAGGGGAGCGUUGUGUAAGCGGAUGAAGGUUAAUCGAGAGGUUAGCUGGACGUAUCACAAGUGCGAAUGCUGACAUAAGUAACGAUAAAACGGGUGAAAAACCCGUUCGCCGGAAGACCAAGGGUUCCUGUCCAACGUUAAUCGGGGCAGGGUGAGUCGGCUCCUAAGGCGAGGCUGAAAAGCGUAGUCGAUGGGAAACAGGUUAAUAUUCCUGUACUUGGUAAAGCUGCGAUGUGGGGACGGAGUAGGUUAGGUUAUCGCACUGUUGGAUAUGUGCGUUUAAGUUGGUAGGUGGGAAGUUUAGGCAAAUCCGGACUUCCUUAACACAGAGAGAUGAUGACGAGGCUCUACGGAGCUGAAGUAACUGAUACCACACUUCCAGGAAAAGCCACUAAGCGAAAGGCUUUACUAAACCGUACUGAAAACCGACACAGGUGGUCAGGUAGAGAAUACUCAGGCGCUUGAGAGAACUCGGGUGAAGGAACUAGGCAAAAUAGCACCGUAACUUCGGGAGAAGGUGCGCCGGCGUAGAUUGUAGUCCCUAGCGGGCGAAGGUUGAACCGGUCGAAGAUACCAGCUGGCUGCAACUGUUUAUUAAAAACACAGCACUCUGCAAACACGAAAGUGGACGUAUAGGGUGUGAUGCCUGCCCGGUGCUGGAAGGUUAAUUGAUGGUGUAAUCGCAAGAGAAGCACCUGAUCGAAGCCCCAGUAAACGGCGGCCGUAACUAUAACGGUCCUAAGGUAGCGAAAUUCCUUGUCGGGUAAGUUCCGACCUGCACGAAUGGCAUAAUGAUGGCCAGGCUGUCUCCACCCGAGACUCAGUGAAAUUGAAAUCGCCGUGAAGAUGCGGUGUACCCGCGGCUAGACGGAAAGACCCCGUGAACCUUUACUAUAGCUUGACACUGAACAUUGAAUUUUGAUGUGUAGGAUAGGUGGGAGCCUUUGAAGCAGUGACGCCAGUCAUUGUGGAGGCGACCUUGAAAUACCACCCUUUAACGUUUGAUGUUCUAACGAAGAUGACGAAACGUGGUCUCGGACAGUGUCUGGUGGGUAGUUUGACUGGGGCGGUCUCCUCCCAAAGCGUAACGGAGGAGCACGAAGGUUUGCUAAUCACGGUCGGACAUCGUGAGGUUAGUGCAAUGGUAUAAGCAAGCUUAACUGCGAGACAGACAAGUCGGGCAGGUACGAAAGUAGGUCAUAGUGAUCCGGUGGUUCUGAAUGGAAGGGCCAUCGCUCAACGGAUAAAAGGUACUCCGGGGAUAACAGGCUGAUACCGCCCAAGAGUUCAUAUCGACGGCGGUGUUUGGCACCUCGAUGUCGGCUCAUCACAUCCUGGGGCUGAAGUAGGUCCCAAGGGUAUGGCUGUUCGCCAUUUAAAGUGGUACGCGAGCUGGGUUUAGAACGUCGUGAGACAGUUCGGUCCCUAUCUGCCGUGGGCGU